CUUUUAACGAUAGUCGUAUUUUUAUCGUUUUGCUGAACAUGGUUACGGGCUACGAUAAGAAUACCACGUCGAUAUCGUAUAAAGUUAUCCACUAUCAUUCGUAAGUGACCACGAUUGUCUAUGCCUAGAGUUUAUGAAAAAUCCAUUUAAUGCCUGGCUUUAUUAAAAUGUCGGACGUGUGUCGGACGAUGUUUGAAAACGAAUAGUUAGUUUUAUUACUACACUUCCAAAUUGAAAAAUGUUUAAAUGAGUGACAGCUUUAUACAAAUUGACUUACAUUAUAACAUGCACGGAUAAUCGUGUUUUCUCAACUGACAAUUCACUUGACAUUGACAAGCAUCGCGUACGCGCAUGAUUCAGUGAAUUUAGUGAAAAUACAAACCAAGUCGAAGAAAAAUACUGAUUUGCUGUGUAAACUAAAGGAAAUGCCACCCAAAAUUCGAUGCUUCGGCGCACAAGAAAAUGCUAGCCAAAUAUAUAACUCAGCAUCCCCUGUUCGCCUACACCUACAGGGAGAUUCAUGAGCCUCUCGGAACCCAGAGAUACAAAAUGCAAUGGUGCAGCAUGUGCACACAAGUUCUAAGAUCUAGAAGAAAGGAUUGAAGAUUCAUAACAUAUUGGAGGCUUGAAAGUGCACAUACCCAUAGAUUGGACGUUAAGCUCAACGAGACCAUGCGAUGCAUCUCAGGCACCAUCCGAUCUACAACCGCCACUGGCUGCCGGCAUUGAGUCACAUUGCCCCUCCUCACAUCCGACGACUCAAGGCGUUGAAGAGGGAGGCUGAGAAUAUCACGAAUAACCCCACAAUGCCUGUCCACGAGGAAUUCUGCCGCCCGACUGCCCGCCGACCCUGUGCUACAGCUGGGAGCCUGAGCAGCUUUAAUAUUUCGGAUAGGUGGAUAGCGGAAUGGUCAGCUUCGGCAGCUCGGAGUUGCUGUAUAUCUGACCCAACUAAAAAACCAAAAGGGUUUGACCUUCCUCGGAAAAUCUGGUGCCGCCUGAGAACCGGACAUGGCCGCUGCAAUUCAGCCACACAAAUGGAGAUAGACGGCUUUCCCACUUUGCGAAUGCAGAAUGCAGACCACUUAGCAUAUCUUCCAACGCUGCCCACUCCACUCCUCCUCCACUCCUGGGCCUGUUGAGGACCUGAAGACCGUGACACCUGACUUGGUUGCUUGGCUUGGCAACCUCAAGGCUACACUCUGAAUGCCCUCAUCAGUUUAUGAUAUGAAAUGAAAUCACUUUAUUGGAGCAUUCCACGAGCUGUCCCGUACAAACGCAUUUUAUUUCCUGUGUUGCGACUUUUUUUUUCGCCAUUUAAAGCAAGCGAUUAAUUUUCCGUGCAUGUUUGACCAUUUGUCAUAGAAAAGGAAACUCUUAUACCUGCAAAUCUCCAGAAAAUCUGCAUUUCUACGGGACAAACGGUAGACAAUUGCAUGGAAUGCUCCAUUGCCAAAACAUGAUAAGUUGAUGGUAGAAAAAAUAUUAGGAAUACAAACCAUAUACCUACAUAUAAAUUCUAUGUUAAGUAUGUACUAAGUUAUUCUAGGUUAAGUACUAACUUAUUGUCUACUCUAUACAUAGGUAAUUACAUUUAGCAAGACAUGUUGGCCGUGGGUACCAAGCUCAGCAUGUGCUAGACUAGCGUCCAGCGCUGGUUUUCAGUUUGGCCCCUUUUUGUUGGAGGUCUGAGAGGAAUGUUGAUCUUUUCUGCGCCGUUAAGCAUUCUAUUUAUAUUGGAAACGAAACUUAUAGAUGAGCAGUUAUGAAAUAGCAAUAAUACAAUAAUAUGGAUAUCAAAUAAAAGCUAGUGAGAAGACCAUUCCAAAAAUAUAUAUAUGUGUCAUACCUAUCCACAAAUAAAACAACAAACAACCUUUUCAGUUCAUUAGUAUUAUCAUUAAGCGUUUUACAACGUAAGUUAGGCCGUCGAAUCAGACAGAAUGGUAAGGGCCCCCGCUCA
Molecule: long non-coding RNA, 1963 nt
Organism: Cydia splendana
Lineage: Eukaryota; Metazoa; Arthropoda; Insecta; Lepidoptera; Tortricidae
Exons: 3
Source: RefSeq, a predicted model, not a curated record